Molecule: ribosomal RNA, 645 nt
Filed under: uncultured actinomycete
Lineage: Bacteria; Bacillati; Actinomycetota; Actinomycetes; Actinomycetales
Description: bacterial SSU rRNA
Rfam family: Bacterial small subunit ribosomal RNA
Source: RNAcentral
CGCGGCCUAUCAGCUUGUUGGUGAGGUAACGGCUCACCAAGGCUCCGACGGGUAGCUGGUCUGAGAGGACGAUCAGCCACACUGGGACUGAGACACGGCCCAGACUCCUACGGGAGGCAGCAGCAGGGAAUUUUGCACAAUGAGCGAAAGCUUGAUGCAGCGACGCCGCGUGCGGGAUGAAUGCCUUCGGGUUGUAAACCGCUUUCAGGAGGGACGAAGCGAAAGUGACGGUACCUUCAGAAGAAGCCCCGGCCAACUACGUGCCAGCAGCCGCGGUAAUACGUAGGGGGCGAACGUUGUCCGGAUUUAUUGGGCGUAAAGAGCUCGUAGGCGGCUCAGCAAGUCGGCCGUGAAAACCCGGGGCUCAACCCCGGGACGCCGGUCGAAACUGCUGUGGCUAGGGUUCGGUAGAGGAGAGUGGAAUUCCCGGUGUAGCGGUGAAAUGCGCAGAUAUCGGGAGGAACACCAGUAGCGAAGGCGGCUCUCUGGGCCGAUACCGACGCUGAGGAGCGAAAGCUAGGGGAGCAAACAGGAUUAGAUACCCUGGUAGUCCUAGCUGUAAACGUUGGGCACUAGGUGUGGCGGACUCAUUGACGUCUGCCGUGCCGCAGCUAACGCAUUAAGUGCCCCGCCUGGGGAGUACGG